GAAGUGCGAUAAGCAAUGCGAAUUGCAGAAUUCCGCGAAUCAUCAGAUCUUUGAACGCAAGUGGCGCUGGAGGGAUAUCCUUCCAGCAUGUCUGUUUCAGUGUCUGAGAGGUUUCAACUAAAUCUUAAUGUGAUUGAAGGACUUAUUUUAGGGAGGCUUCAAACACCACCCAAAAGCAACAACUUCUCUCAUGAAAGAUGCGUGAGUGGAUCUUUCGGUCCAAUGAAGUGGUCACAUCACUCGAAUGUGAUUUCAUUGGAAAUCACCGAAUUAUUCGUAUACUCACAGUAACAAAAACUUUCUCCAUACCCUGCAUCUGAGAUAGGCAAGAUCACCCGCUGAACUUAA
RNAcentral lists this unclassified non-coding RNA (348 nucleotides) under uncultured fungus. Its description in RNAcentral is "sequence contains ITS1". The stretch from base 1 to 105 matches the Rfam family "5.8S ribosomal RNA", at positions 50 to 154 of the family's 154-position model. Lineage: Eukaryota; Fungi. The record is from RNAcentral.